RNAcentral lists this ribosomal RNA (460 nucleotides) under Aceria tosichella (wheat curl mite). Its description in RNAcentral is "partial 28S ribosomal RNA". Lineage: Eukaryota; Metazoa; Arthropoda; Arachnida; Trombidiformes; Eriophyidae. The record is from RNAcentral.
UGCGGUCUUCGCAAGGGCCCUAGUAUUCCUGAGUCUGGCCAACCUUGUAAGCGUACACUGCUACCAGUUAGACGAUCAGCAGUGGGCACAGUGGUUGGAGUCAGCCAGCAAUGGUCGGCUCCUUCUACGAAGCAAUUGUUUGUGUGGGUUAGUAGUAGUGCGGUUGUGCUUCGGUGCUUCUCGUGUAGCUGGGCCCAUGCAAGUGAACUACAGCUGAAUACUGACUGGCGAAAUGAAAAUCACCUUUUAGGUGUUAGAGACAAAGCAGCUAGCCAGACGUGGGCCUACACGGUCGACUGUUAGGUCUAAGCUUGGCGCUCUUGAAUUCAGACUUGCUUGCUACCAGUGGGGCAACUCCUGGUGCUUGUAUAGCUUCUGUCUAAUCGGGCGUCGACUUGGCUUGGCAUUGUUCGGUCGUGCUACGAUAGGGUUUGCGUUUGAGUUGGUUUGCAAUGUGAAU